GUUGUUCUCCCCAUUAAACUCAAAUGAAUUGACGGGGGCCCGCACAAGCGGUGGAGCAUGUGGUUUAAUUCGAUGCAACGCGAAGAACCUUACCUGGUCUUGACAUCCACAGAACUUUCCAGAGAUGGAUUGGUGCCUUCGGGAACUGUGAGACAGGUGCUGCAUGGCUGUCGUCAGCUCGUGUUGUGAAAUGUUGGGUUAAGUCCCGCAACGAGCGCAACCCUUAUCCUUUGUUGCCAACNGUUUUNCCGGGAACNCAAACGAGACACAGAUUGAUGGACUGGAGGAAGGUGCGNAAGAAAUCCACAAACACAAAGGA
Molecule: ribosomal RNA, 319 nt
Filed under: Klebsiella pneumoniae
Lineage: Bacteria; Pseudomonadati; Pseudomonadota; Gammaproteobacteria; Enterobacterales; Enterobacteriaceae
Description: bacterial SSU rRNA
Rfam family: Bacterial small subunit ribosomal RNA
Source: RNAcentral